GAUAUGGCUCAGGAUGAACGCUAGCGACAGGCUUAACACAUGCAAGUCGAGGGGCAGCAUAAAAGUAGCAAUACUUGGUGGCGACCGGCGCACGGGUGAGUAACGCGUAUGCAACCUACCUAUCAGAGGGGAAUAACCCGGCGAAAGUCGGACUAAUACCGCAUAAAACAGGGACACCGCAUGGUGAUAUUUGUUAAAGAAAUUCGCUGAUAGAUGGGCAUGCGUUCCAUUAGGUAGUUGGUGAGGUAACGGCUCACCAAGCCGACGAUGGAUAGGGGAACUGAGAGGUUGGUCCCCCACACUGGUACUGAGACACGGACCAGACUCCUACGGGAGGCAGCAGUGAGGAAUAUUGGUCAAUGGGCGAGAGCCUGAACCAGCCAAGUCGCGUGAAGGAAGAAGGAUCUAUGGUUCGUAAACUUCUUUUGCAGGGGAAUAAAGUGCAGGACGUGUCCUGUUUUGUAUGUACCCUGAGAAUAAGGAUCGGCUAACUCCGUGCCAGCCGCCGC
Molecule: ribosomal RNA, 509 nt
Filed under: uncultured bacterium
Lineage: Bacteria
Description: bacterial SSU rRNA
Rfam family: Bacterial small subunit ribosomal RNA
Source: RNAcentral